UCAGUUCAGAUUGCAGGCUGCAACCCGCCUGCAUGAAGUCGGAAUUGCUAGUAAUCGCGGAUCAGCAUGCCGCGGUGAAUACGUUCCCGGGCCUUGUACACACCGCCCGUCACACCAUGGGAGCCGGUAAUACCCGAAGUCAGUAGUCCAACCUCGUGAGGACGCUGCCGAAGGUAGGAUUGAUAACUGGGGUGAAGUCGUAACAAGGUAAC
Molecule: ribosomal RNA, 212 nt
Filed under: uncultured bacterium
Lineage: Bacteria
Description: partial 16S ribosomal RNA
Rfam family: Bacterial small subunit ribosomal RNA
Source: RNAcentral